RNAcentral lists this ribosomal RNA (253 nucleotides) under uncultured bacterium. RNAcentral's name for it is "partial 16S ribosomal RNA". It matches the Rfam family "Bacterial small subunit ribosomal RNA", at positions 524 to 776 of the family's 1533-position model. The record is from RNAcentral.
UACGGGGGGGGCAAGCGUUGUCCGGAUUUACUGGGCGUAAAGAGCGCGCAGGCGGUCAGAUAAGUCGAAUGUGAAAGCCCCCGGCUCAACUGGGGAGGGUCAUUCGAUACUGUUCGACUCGAAGGCAGGAGAGGGAAGUGGAAUUCCCGGUGUAGUGGUGAAAUGCGUAGAUAUCGGGAGGAACACCAGUGGCGAAGGCGACUUCCUGGCCUGUUCUUGACGCUGAGGCGCGAAAGCUAGGGGAGCAAACGGG